AUGUGCCCGUACUCUAGCAGCUUCUCCACUGUCAUCUUUGGCUGCUCAAAGGUCACUGGUCCGUCCCGCGAGUUCACCAGCUUCUUGCCAAUGUUCUCGAUACCGGUAGAGGUCACCCACUUGCGCACCUCGUCGUCGUACACCCGAGCACGCAGAGCACCGAAAAAUUGUGAGGAACAUACCGAUGGAUUGUCCUGGGAAGGUGUCGACGAUCUUGACGACGGACUCGUCGCUGACAUUGUCGGUCUGGAAGAUACCCUUGCAGACACCGAUACGGUCGUCGCGGGUGGGAGCCCAGUAGAACUUCUCCAUACGACCAUCACGGAUCAGAGGGGCGUACAACGUCGAGAAAUCGUUACCAGUGACGACGAUGGGCACACGUGGGUUCUCCUCCUUGUUGUACAUGCCUGGGAGCUGCACAUUGGUGGGGGCAUCGGCGAUGUUCAUGAGGGUGGCGUUCACCAUCUGGUUGUUCACCGUGUACUGCGUCGUCCCGCCCAUCCGCCCCGCGCCGGCGUCCAGGUCGUUGAUGAAGAGGCAGCACAUCUUGCCCUUCUUGAUAAUGUCCGCCGCCUCGCGGUACCUCUGCCGGAUCAGCUUGGCCGGCUCGCCGGCGUUGCCGCUCUCCAGCUCUCCGGCGCUCAUCAUGAUGGGGUUGAUGCCCAUCUUGGCGAACACCAGCUCGCACUGGAACGACUUGCCCUGUCCCUUGCCUCCCCAGAUGCCCAGGAUGAGAGGGACCUUGAUGUUGGGGAGCGUCAUGAAGUUCUUGGCGAGGUGGACGAUGAGCUUGUCCAUGAAUGCCGGGGCGAUGUAGAGCCCGUCCAUGGUGUUGUCGAAGUCGUACUUCCGCAGGCCCUGGCUGAUGUACUCGUAGGAGCUCAGGAUGGCCUCGUGGGUGCCGUCGCCCAUGGGGGCCUGGAACAGGGAGUCCACGAUACCUUUCCCCCUGGUGAUGUCCUGCUGGUCGUCGGAGAUGUCGUAAGCGAGACCCUUCCACCGAUCGGCAUCGGUCUGCUUGCCCUCGUCAAGUUCCUUUUUGGCCGCCAUGGCCCUGACCACCCUACUGUUGAUCUUGUUGCCACCAUGGUAGUAGUUCAACGUACCGGCCUGCUUCUUCACCUUCUUCCCGAGGAAGCAGAAGCCAUCGUGUCGAUUGUUCUCUCCCCGCACCUGAUAACUUAA
This 1185-nucleotide ribosomal RNA is filed under the name Triticum aestivum (bread wheat). RNAcentral describes it as "partial small subunit ribosomal RNA". Lineage: Eukaryota; Viridiplantae; Streptophyta; Magnoliopsida; Poales; Poaceae. The record is from RNAcentral.